AGUGAACGCUGGCGGUAGGCCUAACACAUGCAAGUCGAACGGCAGCACAGUAAGAGCUUGCUCUUACGGGUGGCGAGUGGCGGACGGGUGAGGGAUACAUCGGAAUCUACUUUUUCGUGGGGGAUAACGUAGGGAAACUUACGCUAAUACCGCAUACGACCUACGGGUGAAAGCAGAGGAUCUUCGGACCUUGCGCGAUUGAAUGAGCCGAUGUCGGAUUAGCUAGUUGGCGGGGUAAAGGCCCACCAAGGCGACGAUCCGUAGCUGGUCUGAGAGGAUGAUCAGCCACACUGGAACUGAGACACGGUCCAGACUCCUACGGGAGGCAGCAGUGGGGAAUAUUGGACAAUGGGCGCAAGCCUGAUCCAGCCAUACCGCGUGGGUGAAGAAGGCCUUCGGGUUGUAAAGCCCUUUUGUUGGGAAAGAAAAGCAGCAGGUUAAUACCCCGCUGUUCUGACGGUACCCAAAGAAUAAGCACCGGCUAACUUCGUG
This 492-nucleotide ribosomal RNA is filed under the name uncultured bacterium. RNAcentral's name for it is "partial 16S ribosomal RNA". It matches the Rfam family "Bacterial small subunit ribosomal RNA", at positions 29 to 507 of the family's 1533-position model. The record is from RNAcentral.